This 253-nucleotide ribosomal RNA is filed under the name uncultured bacterium. RNAcentral's name for it is "partial 16S ribosomal RNA". It matches the Rfam family "Bacterial small subunit ribosomal RNA", at positions 524 to 776 of the family's 1533-position model. The record is from RNAcentral.
UACGAAGGGGGCUAGCGUUGCUCGGAAUCACUGGGCGUAAAGCGCGUGUAGGCGGCCAGGUAAGUCCGUUCUGAAAGCCCGGGGCUCAACCCCGGGAGGCGGAUGGAUACUGCUUGGCUCGAGUCCGGAAGAGGCGAGUGGAAUUCCCGGUGUAGCGGUGAAAUGCGCAGAUAUCGGGAGGAACACCAAUGGCGAAGGCAGCUCGCUGGGACGGUACUGACGCUGAGACGCGAAAGCGUGGGGAGCAAACAGG